Molecule: ribosomal RNA, 207 nt
Filed under: uncultured bacterium
Lineage: Bacteria
Description: partial 16S ribosomal RNA
Rfam family: Bacterial small subunit ribosomal RNA
Source: RNAcentral
CCUGUAGGUUGUUUAUUAAGUCCGUUGUUAAAGCCUAGGGCUUAACCCUAGAAAAGCAAUGGAAACUAGUAGACUAGAGUAUGGCAGGGGUAGAGGGAAUUUCUAGUGUAGCGGUGAAAUGCGUAGAUAUUAGAAAGAACACCGGUGGCGAAAGCGCUCUACUGGACCAUUACUGACACUCAGAGGCGAAAGCUAGGGUAGCAAAAG